This 406-nucleotide ribosomal RNA is filed under the name uncultured bacterium. Its description in RNAcentral is "partial 16S ribosomal RNA". It matches the Rfam family "Bacterial small subunit ribosomal RNA", at positions 29 to 526 of the family's 1533-position model. The record is from RNAcentral.
AUUGAACGCUGGCGGCAGGCCUAACACAUGCAAGUCGAGCGAGAGGCGGACGGGUGAGUAAUGUCUGGGAAACUGCCUGAUGGAGGGGGAUAACUACUGGAAACGGUAGCUAAUACCGCAUAACAUCAGAUGUGCCCAGAUGGGGUUAGCUAGUAGGUGGGGUAACGGCUCACCUAGGCGACGAUCCCUAGCUGGUCUGAGAGGAUGACAAGCCACACUGGAACUGAGACACGGCCCAGACUCCAACGGGAGGCAGCAGUGGGGAAUAUUGCACAAUGGACGCAAGCCUGAUACAGCCAUGCCGCGUGGGUGAAGAAGGCCUUCGGGUUGUAAAGCACUUUCAGCGGGGAGGCGUUACCCGCAGAAGAAGCACCGGCUAACUCCGUGCCAGCCGCCGCGGUAAUAC